Molecule: ribosomal RNA, 430 nt
Filed under: uncultured bacterium
Lineage: Bacteria
Description: partial 16S ribosomal RNA
Rfam family: Bacterial small subunit ribosomal RNA
Source: RNAcentral
AACGAACGCUGGCGGCAGGCCUAACACAUGCAAGUCGAACGCCCCGCAAGGGGAGUGGCCGACGGUUGAGUAACACGUGGGAACCUUCCCUAUAGUACGUAAUAGCCCAGGGAAACUUGGAGUAAUACCGUAUACGCCCGAAAGGGGAAAGAAUUUCGCUAUAGGAUGGGCCCGCGUAGGAUUAGCUAGUUGGUGAGGUAAUGGCUCACCAAGGCGACGAUCCUUAGCUGGUUUGAGAGAACGACCAGCCACACUGGUACUGAGACACGGCCCAGACUCCUACGGGAGGCAGCAGUGGGGAAUAUUGGACAAUGGGCGCAAGCCUGAUCCAGCCAUGCCGCGUGAGUGAUGAAGGCCUUAGGGUUGUAAAGCUCUUUUGGCGGGGACGAUAAUGACGGUACCCGCAGAAUAAGUCCCGGCUAACUUCGUG